AUCAGCUCCAGCUGCUCUCAGGAUCAUAUAAAAGCAGCUCCUGCAGGUUGGAGUUAUUGUCAGUGUGAUCAGAGCUAGGUACAGUCUGGUAAUACUCCAUUUAUCCUGUGCAGCAGCUGUAACAGAAUGAGGAUGUUGUGGCUUUCUCUCAUGCUGAUUGGAAGCGUCAGCUGUGCAGCAACAAGGUGGAAGUGGACUGCCCAUGUGGUGGUAUACGGCUGCAUCAUCUGAACAGGAUGUUUCUGGGCCAGCCAAUCAGAACCCCAGUGGACAAGUUGGUUCCGUCAGUUACAACAGCUCGGAGUUUACUACUGCAGCAGUACUGGAGGUGCUGACAGGAGUCCUACUUAUGGGGUCCAGCACGGCGGCCAUCAGCACAGCCAGCAUGCAGCUCCAGGAGAUGGCAGCUCUCGGUUUGCAGAGGAGAGCUGGAGCUCUUCAUCUGAUACCAGCGGUGAAGAUGAGCCAGUCUUCUCCCCUGUAGAUGAAUGCCUAGACCAUCCUGCAUGGUUUAGAGGCCCAGGAUUUUUUUUUUUUUUUUUUUGUGCUUUCAAAGUUUAAUGUCGAUGCAAACCUCGAAUCUUGUGCUGCUUCUGACUCCAUCCAGAUGACGGCACUAAUGUCAAAGUGGACAUGAAGCCUUAUGACUAAAGUAUUCAAGCUGGAAUUUGAACCUCUGAGAAAAAACCUGUGCUGAAAUCUUCAAUUUCCUUAAUGGGUAAAAUGGACCUCCAUUUUUAAAGUUGGGACAAGACCCACAACUGAAAUGACUUGUAAUACUCCAGUUUCUCAAUUGGCCCAUUAAAACUUUAGUUUGAUAUUUCUGCACAGCUCUCUGAGGGUACCACCACUAGCCCAUUCCAAAACCAAAAUGCUUCUAUAAUUGACAGUUUUGUCAAGCCUGCAGGAUGGACUCACAUUUGGCUCAAAACUUUGUGUAUAUCGGUUUGUUGCUCAGUAAGGCACCAUGUGACUGAAACUAUCAUGCUUGUUUCUUCAGUGUAUAUGGAAGGCAAUUGGACUUUAACAUUUCACCAUCUCAAAAGGCUUAAUUAGUUCUGAACAUGGUUUGGAAGAAACAUCACACCAACAGGAUGGAGUCACAGAACCUACCCUCAAUUCUCUUGUCCAAUCCAAAGAACAUUAUUCCAGAAGUCUUGUUGUUCAUCGAGAUGCAGCUUUGCAAAGCUAAGGGUUUCUGCUAUAUUGUUUGUAUAGAAAACAAGCUCUCAAAAAAUUCCAAACUUCUUUUUUUUUUUUGUCUUUUUCUAUCUUGAACUUCAACAUGCUUAGGCCAAAGCUCUUUGACAUUUCUGAGCAUUGUAUGCUCUGGCCUUGGGGUGAAUUUUGCUUGGAUGUCCAAUCCUGUGAAGAUUAGCAGCUGUAAAAUGAAAUAAUUCAUUUGAAAAUGGCCCUCCAAGGUCAGCAACAGCUUCACUAAGAUAUAUUAAAAAGUUGUGGGUAACAAUGAAAUUGUUAAAGAUAAACUCUGCUUUAGUCUCCUCUCGAUUUAGAUGCAACUUUGCAAGUGAUGCUGUUUCUUUAUAGAGAGAAAACCCUUUCUCCUGGUAACCCAACUCGAGAUGCAAGCAAGCUUUGCAAAUGUUUUCAGAGGACAAUAACAAAUGAAUCAGCUGUUCACAUAAAUGUCCAUCAGAGCUUUAACAUUUUGAGAUUUUUCACUUUAAAGUUACUGCAGAUUUUUAUUUGAGCUAGGAAAAAUAAAUCUGAUUAGCCUUUUUUGUGAUUCCUUGUAAAUGCUGAGUUAAAUUUACUCUUGUAAAUAUUGCCUAACAUUAAAAUUAGUUUGAGACAUGCAAGUGUGACAAAAGGGUUAGGGUUAGGGUUACCUGUAAAAGGGCAUAUACAUUUUCACUGUAAAUACACUGAAUGGAAAUGAACUGCAGCUUCCCCAUACAGGUUAAAAAAUAUCUUAACAUCAAUGCAUUUGUUUUAAAUUUGGAUCACUCGUUAUUUGUUUACAUUUUUCUACCAGGAUUUAUUGUAUUUGCUUUUAAUAUAAUUUUUUUGAACUAUGUCCCUUUAUUUUCUUGUAACGGACUUCGAGUUACCCUAUAAAUGACGCUGUACAGUUGAACUCCUGUAUAGGAUAGUGCUAGUUUAACUGAAGACAGAUGAAAUGAGUCUGUAAUUGUCAGUAACCCGCACUUCCUCUCACCUCUACCUGCUGAACCCUACAUCUAAAGCAAACAGAAACGUAACUCACCUUGUCACCUUACCGCAUUUCUCUGCCAUUUGCCGAGCUACCCAAUCACUAUGGAGGACCGAUCCUGACAAAAUUAAAAAUAAAAGCAGAAAUAUAUA
Girardinichthys multiradiatus is the source of this 2325-nucleotide long non-coding RNA. RefSeq lists it as uncharacterized. The record is from RefSeq and is a predicted model, not a curated record. Lineage: Eukaryota; Metazoa; Chordata; Actinopteri; Cyprinodontiformes; Goodeidae. The transcript has 3 exons.